GCACAAGCAGCGGAGCGUGUGGUUUAAUUCGAUGCUACACGAAGAACCUUACCAGGGUUUGACAUACAAGUAGUAGGGAAAGGAAACUGGACCGACCUUCGGGAGCUUGUACAGGUGCUGCAUGGCUGUCGUCAGCUCGUGUCGUGAGAUGUUGGGUUAAGUCCCGCAACGAGCGCAACCCUUGUCUUUAGUUGCCAUCAUUAAGUUGGGCACUCUAAAGAGACUGCCGGUGUCAAACCGGAGGAAGGUGGGAUGACGUCAAGUCCUCAUGGCCUUUAUGACCAGGGCUACACACGUACUACAAUGGCAGGUACAAAGGGCAGCCACUUAGCGAUAAGGCGCGAAUCCCAUAAAACCUGUCUCAGUCCGGAUUGGAGUCUGCAACUCGACUCCAUGAAGUUGGAAUCGCUAGUAAUCGCAGAUCAGCACGCUGCGGUGAAUACGUUCCCGGGCCUU
Molecule: ribosomal RNA, 456 nt
Filed under: uncultured Desulfocapsa sp.
Lineage: Bacteria; Pseudomonadati; Thermodesulfobacteriota; Desulfobulbia; Desulfobulbales; Desulfocapsaceae
Description: bacterial SSU rRNA
Rfam family: Bacterial small subunit ribosomal RNA
Source: RNAcentral